RNAcentral lists this ribosomal RNA (468 nucleotides) under uncultured bacterium. RNAcentral describes it as "partial 16S ribosomal RNA". It matches the Rfam family "Bacterial small subunit ribosomal RNA", at positions 28 to 507 of the family's 1533-position model. The record is from RNAcentral.
GACGAACGCUGGCGGCGUGCUUAACACAUGCAAGUCGAACGGAAAGUCCCUGCUUUUGUGGGGUGGUCGCGGGGCGAACGGGAGCGUAAAACGAGAGUAACCUGCCCUGGACUUAGGGAUAACUUCACGAAACUGGGACUAAUACGGGAUCGGAGCUGCUGCUGCAUGGGGGGGGUUGGAACGAUUCGGUGGGGGGGGGUGGAGCCGCGGCUUAUCAGCUUGGUGGGGGGGUAGUUGCUUACCAAGGCGUUGGCGGGUAGCCGGCCUGGGAGGGCGACCGGCCACCUUGGGACUGACGUACGGCCCCAUCUCCUCCGGGAGGCAGCAGUGGGAGAUCUUGCACCAUGGGCCGAAGCCUGAUGCAGCAACGCCGCGUGCCGGAUGGCGGCUUUCGGGUGGUUAACCGCUUUCGCCUGUGGCGAAGCGUGAGUGACGGUACUGGGUAAAUAAGCACCGGCUAACUUCGUG